This is a long non-coding RNA of Hemicordylus capensis (graceful crag lizard), 899 nucleotides long. RefSeq lists it as uncharacterized. The transcript is spliced from 3 exons. The record is from RefSeq and is a predicted model, not a curated record. Lineage: Eukaryota; Metazoa; Chordata; Lepidosauria; Squamata; Cordylidae.
CAGCCAGCAGUUCUCCCAACACCAGUGUGGCAGGAUUUCUUUCCUUUCAGGUUAUUCCAGUUGAUGUCAGUAUCUGUUUUCUUGACAACAGCUACAGCAAAGUAGCUUUCAGGAACUGGAAAUGGAGAAAGAAAGCGAAGAGACAUGAAGAGCUAGAAAGGCAAUGCCUAUUUCAGAAGAUACUUUUGGCAAAUAACUUCAGCAGAAAACCAUGAACUGCAAGACACUGAACACAAUUGUGCAGCUCAGGUGAUCCUCCUCAGAGACUCCCUCCUGGACCUUCUUUACAGAAGCAAGCCCACCAACAUCUGGAAACUGAGCGUCUUCUAGACAUAACAUCAAUAACCUUCUAAGCUAGUUGAUGAAAGCAUGAGACAAGGCCUUCUCACACCCAGAAUGUAAAAAUACCUCACCUGGGCAUUUUCCAGGCUAGCUGCUAGAACAGCAGCAAAAUGCCUCUGUUUGGGCAAGUUGCAUUUGGAACAUAAACAGCAGGGGGAGCAGUCUUGCAGCAACUAACAACCCGAAAAAACAGCAGCUUUUCCACACUGGAUGUACGACAUCCUUGUGAUUUUAUUCUCAACGAGGCACUGGAAAUGUGAACGGUCCCCUGCUGUCCAAGUAGGGACUGCAGUGUCACGAUGCAGGAAGUGUAGAAGCACACUUCCGAGAUACGUCCUGACCCCGUUGUAGGGUCUAGUCUGGAAAGCGCCCUGGGAGAAGCAUCUGGCCUCUUCAGCUACUGUCUAGAUCCUCUGAUUCCUGAUCAUCUACUCAACUUGACCCUUGGCAUGAUGUUCCUGGCUCUCCCAGACCUGGCUUUGGGCUUGUGUCCCCUAGUGACUGCUACCUAGAGCUCAGUUACCUAACACGUUAUAAACCAUUAAAUGCUUCUGCAG